GGAACAUAGCUCAGUGGUAGAGCUCAUGCUCAGCAUGCACAAAGUCCUGGGUUCAAUCCCCAGUCCUUCCA
RNAcentral lists this transfer RNA (71 nucleotides) under Camelus bactrianus (Bactrian camel). It matches the Rfam family "tRNA". Rfam says of the family: Transfer RNA (tRNA) molecules are approximately 80 nucleotides in length. Their secondary structure includes four short double-helical elements and three loops (D, anti-codon, and T loops). Further hydrogen bonds mediate the characteristic L-shaped molecular structure. tRNAs have two regions of fundamental functional importance: the anti-codon, which is responsible for specific mRNA codon recognition, and the 3' end, to which the tRNAs corresponding amino acid is attached (by aminoacyl-tRNA synthetases). tRNAs cope with the degeneracy of the genetic code in two manners: having more than one tRNA (with a specific anti-codon) for a particular amino acid; and 'wobble' base-pairing, i.e. permitting non-standard base-pairing at the 3rd anti-codon position. The record is from Rfam by way of RNAcentral. RNAcentral also lists the same sequence under 2 other names. Lineage: Eukaryota; Metazoa; Chordata; Mammalia; Artiodactyla; Camelidae.